Long non-coding RNA from Leopardus geoffroyi (Geoffroy's cat), 2061 nucleotides. RefSeq lists it as uncharacterized. The transcript has 2 exons. NCBI's taxonomy places the organism in Eukaryota, Metazoa, Chordata, Mammalia, Carnivora, Felidae. The record is from RefSeq and is a predicted model, not a curated record.
AUAAGACUCAAAAAUGAACAAACUUGAUAGUUCAUUUCCCCAGGUGGUCAGAAGAGAUGUAGCAUCUGACAACAAUGAGAAAAGGCUAUAGAAUAAAACUAUUCAGAGAACAAUAAAUAAAUAAAUAAAUAAAUAAAUAAAUAAAUAAAUAAAAAUUGCUCUUUGAAGUUAAAUAGUAAAUUCUCAGAAAAAAGUCUGGAAGAUAAAUUUGAAGCAAUCUUCCAGAAAGUCAAUCAAAAAUAAAGAAAUGGAAAAUGGAAGAGAAAAGGAAAAUAUUAGAAUUCAGGAGGCCCAACACUCUAGUAAGCAGGAGCUCUAGAAAGAGAGACUGCAAAAAGAUAGGGUAGGGUAUUUUUGAAGAAAAAUUCCUUAAAUAGAGGAUAUGAGUUUGUAGUUUGAGAGAGCUCACUUAUGUCCUGCGUGAUGCCUGCAAUGACAAAAACUCAGGUGUGCCAUUGUGAAAUUUCAGAACCUUGGAGAUAAAAAUCCUGCAAAUUCCUAGAGAUUAAAAAUAUACAAAAGAUCCGGAAUCAGAAAAGCACCAGGCUUUUCACCUGCCACAUGGAAAGUCAGUGGAGCAAUCCUUUCAAAAUUCAGAUGGAAAAUUGUUUCAAAUCUUGAUUUCUGUUCUCUGCCAAAUUUUCUAACAAGUGUGAAGGCAGAAUAAAGACAUUGCAGAUAUGCAAGUUUAAAAAUUUUUUACCUCCUUUUCAGGAAAAUACUGGAGAAUGGAUUCCACAAAAUAAGGAUAGAAACCGAGAAGAAGAUCACAUAGGAUCCAGGAAACAGGACUUGAACCAGGAAAAAGGCAAGGGGAUGUCCAGAACCCCUCCCCCUCUGCACGUGUGGGAUGCCUGGACGCUGAAUCACAAGCGGAGCGGCCCGGACUCCUGCCCACUGCCCUCAACUUGUUUGCUGAGCUCCGCUCCAGGGGCCUUUCUGCUGUGCGGAGGCUCCCCUCCCUGCGCAGUGUGUUUGCUGAACCCGGCAGUCUCAGAAGGGCGGAGAAUUGAAUGUUUUUCUGCCCAAGCCCAGCUUCAGAGAGGACGGGGCUCGUGCUAAGAAUCAGCGGGUAUUUAUCAUGGCUCAGGUGGCUGAGGUUUAUUUUCCUCAAUGGUAGUUUUUGGAAAUAUUUGGAAAUACUUACUUAGUUUCACUUGUGUGAUGUGAAGGCUCUUUCAGUUUGGUUUUCUGAAUCCCUCUUCUAAAAGAGAAGUUACCCUAACGGGGAAACAUAAUUAGAUUUUGGUAUUAUGCACUAUUUUUUUAAUGCUGUCUUUUUUAGUAUGAAGUAAAAUUUACAUGUAGUGAAAUGAACAUAACUAAAUCCUAAAUUGUGAGUUUUGAUAACUAUAUACACACAUGUAGUCAUUACCCAAAUCACGAUAAAGAAUGUUUCCAUCACUCCCAGGAAGUUCUCCUGUUCUUCCUUUUACUCAUCUUUACCCCUUCAAAAACUUCUCUUAAUUCUAUCACUGUAGCUUAGUUUCCAUGUUCCUAAACUUCAUAUGGGUGAAAUCAGAUAGAAUGUAUCUUUUUUUUGUGUCUCGUUUCUUUUGUUCAACAUGUUUUUGACAUUAUUCUAUUGUGUUGUGUUCUUUUCUAUUGCUGAGUACCAUUCCAUUACAUGAAUAUACAAUUUAUUUAUGUGUUCUCAUUUUGGUGACCAUUUCAGUUGUUCCUACACACUAAAUUUUAAUGUACGUAAACUGUUUAAAACACUUUAGAACUUUUCUUUAUACUGGAGAUUUUUCUUUAUGAAAUCAAAAUUAAAUUUCUGAUUACCUACAAAAUUGGAAUUAGAUUCUCUGUAUUCUGUAGACUCUGAUUCUUGGAAAGAUAGAUAUUUGAAUAUAAAAAAAAAAUGCAUCUUGAUGGUCCCUCAAUUCCCAUUCUGAGUCUUUAAAGCCACAUUAAAUAAUGCUAGAAUUUGAACUCUUCCUUUACAUAUUACUGUGUGAACAUUGAGCAGCUAAUUCACUCAAACACCUUUUUUAACACAAUUAUUUUUACUGUGUUUCAGAAUGAAAGUGGAGAAUAAAAUAGUUUGUGGGUAUUGUU